GAGGAGCCCAGAGCCUGAAUCAGUGUGUGUGUUAGUGGAAGCGUCUGGAAAGGCGCGCGAUACAGGGUGACAGCCCCGUACACAAAAAUGCACAUAUUGUGAGCUCGAUGAGUAGGGCGGGACACGUGGUAUCCUGUCUGAAUAUGGGGGGACCAUCCUCCAAGGCUAAAUACUCCUGACUGACCGAUAGUGAACCAGUACCGUGAGGGAAAGGCGAAAAGAACCCCGGCGAGGGGAGUGAAAAAGAACCUGAAACCGUGUACGUACAAGCAGUGGGAGCCUCUUAAUGGGGUGACUGCGUACCUUUUGUAUAAUGGGUCAGCGACUUAUAUUCUGUAGCAAGGUUAACCGAAUAGGGGAGCCGAAGGGAAACCGAGUCUUAACUGGGCGUUAAGUUGCAGGGUAUAGACCCGAAACCCGGUGAUCUAGCCAUGGGCAGGUUGAAGGUUGGGUAACACUAACUGGAGGACCGAACCGACUAAUGUUGAAAAAUUAGCGGAUGACUUGUGGCUGGGGGUGAAAGGCCAAUCAAACCGGGAGAUAGCUGGUUCUCCCCGAAAGCUAUUUAGGUAGCGCCUCGUGAAUUCAUCUCCGGGGGUAGAGCACUGUUUCGGCAAGGGGGUCAUCCCGACUUACCAACCCGAUGCAAACUGCGAAUACCGGAGAAUGUUAUCACGGGAGACACACGGCGGGUGCUAACGUCCGUCGUGAAGAGGGAAACAACCCAGACCGCCAGCUAAGGUCCCAAAGUCAUGGUUAAGUGGGAAACGAUGUGGGAAGGCCCAGACAGCCAGGAUGUUGGCUUAGAAGCAGCCAUCAUUUAAAGAAAGCGUAAUAGCUCACUGGUCGAGUCGGCCUGCGCGGAAGAUGUAACGGGGCUAAACCAUG
Molecule: ribosomal RNA, 888 nt
Filed under: Escherichia coli
Lineage: Bacteria; Pseudomonadati; Pseudomonadota; Gammaproteobacteria; Enterobacterales; Enterobacteriaceae
Description: partial 23S ribosomal RNA
Rfam family: Bacterial large subunit ribosomal RNA
Source: RNAcentral